This 221-nucleotide long non-coding RNA is filed under the name Lathyrus oleraceus (garden pea). RNAcentral's name for it is "Pisum sativum (pea) long non-coding RNA (PSAT_LNC002252)". The record is from RNAcentral. Lineage: Eukaryota; Viridiplantae; Streptophyta; Magnoliopsida; Fabales; Fabaceae.
UUCAAGUCAGUGCACUAUCAGAGUGCAAUCCGGUAAAUCGUUGGGGUUCGUUAUAAGAGAGAAAUCGAGGUUGAUCCUGCUAAAAGAAAAAAAAAAAAAAAAACGACAACAAAAUGCCUGAACCGAGAAAAAGAAAAGAGAGGUUCGUGGUUUCUUAGAAAGAUUGAACUACCUGUCAUGGUUCACAUUUCAUCUAAUAGCCAUGUAUGAACCCAUAUUCA